Long non-coding RNA from Numida meleagris (helmeted guineafowl), 1425 nucleotides. RefSeq lists it as uncharacterized. Lineage: Eukaryota; Metazoa; Chordata; Aves; Galliformes; Numididae. The transcript has 3 exons. The record is from RefSeq and is a predicted model, not a curated record.
GCUGACUUGGUUUGCAAGCGGAGACACCAGGAAUGGGUUGUAGUGGGAUGCUAUCGGCGUUGAUCCAGGGAGGACUUUCUGGUCCGCUGAGCCUGGACAUUGAAGUCCUCUGAUAGAGAGCCAAAGAUACUUCUGGAGAAGAGAAGGCUUAUCUGGAGAAGAGGCUCAGGGGUGACCUUAACGCUCUUUACAACUACCUGAAAGGAGGUAGUGGUGAGGUCAUAGCUUCACCUGGCAAGGAACUAUCAAGGGUCUGAAACCCACCAAGAGAUGUAGAGGAUCAGUGUUGGUGAGUUUGUCCUUGUCUGCAGAGAAGAAAUGACUAAACUGAGACAAGUAAGAACUAGAAACUGAUGGAGGACGGGGAAGACAGGAGAAUAAGAAAAGUGGAAAAAGGAGAGAACUUCUAACCUAUAAUUGCAUUGUCCGUGCUGGUUGAAAUCCAGGUAUAAACAAUGCUCAUAUCCCUACAUUUCACUUUUCAGAACAUGUCUUUAAGACAAAAACAGGGGUUAGAAGAGCAGAUUUUACUCUUGUGAUUAAGAUUUGCACCUUCUGACUUUGGGUUAAAAAGAGAAAGAACUAAAAAUAAAACAAGGGGGAAAAAAAGAGUAAUGCUUUACUAAUUAAGGCAAAAUUGGAAAUGAUUGGUGUGCACUGGCAAGCUGCUACUCCCAGAAAGAACUGGACUGACAUCUCUACAAUCACUCAGUGAGUAAGCACUGCGAAAACACUGUUUGGCCUGGAAGGAGCUAAUAAGUGCAUAGAUAAAAUCUUAUUUUGAAAGCAACAACAAAGGACAUGUGAUUUAUAUUUUAGCUGGUGACUUCAUAUGUUUUGCAGUUUCUCUAGAAUAUAUCGGAAUUCAUAAUUCAUUUUUAUAAUGCAUUACAUUAAAAUAAUAAAUGUCAGGAAGUUUUUCAAGAGACUGAAAAUUCUGUAAGCAGUGCUGAGUGAUCAAAGGAGAAUUUUGACAGGGAGAGACUCCCGUUGACUUGGGGCUUUGGAUCAGGCCUGACAUUGGCAACAAAAUGGACAACAGUUAAUAAAAGUGUGCCUGUUAGAGCAUGGGUAAGCUGGAGCAGCUAAUUGCAUCAACUUAACACAAGUUGGGGGAAGAUGCAUGCUGGCUGGAUCCUCACUGCUGCACAUGAUAGGAUGCUGUUGCUCAUCCACAUGGCAGCAGCCAUAGAUGAGCCAAGACAAAGGAAGCGAUAGUGGAGGUGGAGGAGAGAGCAGGGAUUAGAGGACUGGAGGAAAAACAACUUUCAGGGGGAGAAACCAUUCCAAAACCUACAUUUACGCAAGGAAGAAUACUGUUGGGUUAAAAGCAGUAUAUCAUUUCUGGAGUUUUUCAUUUCCUACGUGUUGGAGGAGUUAUCUCUGUGUGUUUCCAUUCUUUUUCUUAAUGGAGGAAUAUAUGAC